This 24-nucleotide non-coding RNA is filed under the name Arabidopsis thaliana (thale cress). Lineage: Eukaryota; Viridiplantae; Streptophyta; Magnoliopsida; Brassicales; Brassicaceae. The record is from RNAcentral.
CGGGGACCUGAUUGUUGGUCAUUG